This 117-nucleotide small nuclear RNA is filed under the name Lactococcus cremoris. Its description in RNAcentral is "Lactococcus lactis subsp. cremoris s015". The record is from RNAcentral. Lineage: Bacteria; Bacillati; Bacillota; Bacilli; Lactobacillales; Streptococcaceae.
UAAUUGGACUAGUUUUAGUUUUUUUCAUUAAGGACAAAAAUGAAUCGAGAAAACCAUUACCCGAAAAGUUUUAUCAGAAAAAAGUUUUUUGGGCUUGGAUUUUUAUUCCACUCUUUG